RNAcentral lists this ribosomal RNA (782 nucleotides) under uncultured bacterium. Its description in RNAcentral is "bacterial SSU rRNA". It matches the Rfam family "Bacterial small subunit ribosomal RNA", at positions 56 to 850 of the family's 1533-position model. The record is from RNAcentral.
UGCAGUCGAACGGUGACGAGGAGCUUGCUCCUCUGAUCAGUGGCGAACGGGUGAGUAACACGUGAGUAACCUGCCCCAGACUCUGGAAUAACAGUUGGAAACAGCUGCUAAUACCGGAUACGAGACGGAGCCGCAUGGCUACUGUCUGGAAAGUUUUUCGGUCUGGGAUGGACUCGCGGCCUAUCAGCUUGUUGGUGAGGUAACGGCUCACCAAGGCGACGACGGGUAGCCGGCCUGAGAGGGCGACCGGCCACACUGGGACUGAGACACGGCCCAGACUCCUACGGGAGGCAGCAGUGGGGAAUAUUGCACAAUGGGCGAAAGCCUGAUGCAGCGACGCCGCGUGCGGGAUGAAGGCCUUCGGGUUGUAAACCGCUUUCAGCAGGGAAGAAGCGAAAGUGACGGUACCUGCAGAAGAAACACCGGCUAACUACGUGCCAGCAGCCGCGGUAAUACGUAGGGUGCGAGCGUUGUCCGGAAUUAUUGGGCGUAAAGAGCUUGUAGGCGGUUUGUCGCGUCUGCUGUGAAAAUCCGGGGCUCAACCCCGGACCUGCAGUGGGUACGGGCAAACUAGAGUGUGGUAGGGGAGACUGGAAUUCCUGGUGUAGCGGUGAAAUGCGCAGAUAUCAGGAGGAACACCAAUGGCGAAGGCAGGUCUCUGGGCCAUUACUGACGCUGAGAAGCGAAAGCGUGGGUAGCGAACAGGAUUAGAUACCCUGGUAGUCCACGCCGUAAACGUUGGGCGCUAGGUGUGGGACUCUUUUCACGAGUUCUGUGCCGCA